AUAAGUGAAUUUUUAUGUUACUUUUCAGUCGGAGAUUUUUAAAUCUGAUCACUUAAGUGUCUUUUUAUUUGGAUAUUUGAAUUAUUAAACAACAAUAACAUUAAUUGUUGCCUAGGUCAUGUCAGUAACAGACAAACACGGAGUCUACGCCAUUUUGUGUGUCACUCUCGGUGCUGUUGGCUCGGUCUUUCAUAUCAUUGGCCUCUCGACACCCACGUGGUCUGCGCUGGCUUAUCUAGGUCAAAGAGGCUCGAAAGGAUUGUGGGAAUACUGUGUUGAAGAGGAGUGCAAAUACUACGCAGUGAAAGAUGACAGUUUAAAAGUGUGUGAGGCCUUCUCCAUUCUGGGCAUGCUGGCCAGUUUUUUGGCCGUGACGGUCUCAGUGUGCCAGGUGUACUGGGCGGUUCUAGACAUAC
Physella acuta is the source of this 416-nucleotide long non-coding RNA. RefSeq lists it as uncharacterized. The record is from RefSeq and is a predicted model, not a curated record. NCBI's taxonomy places the organism in Eukaryota, Metazoa, Mollusca, Gastropoda, Physidae.